This is a long non-coding RNA of Apodemus sylvaticus (European woodmouse), 1988 nucleotides long. RefSeq lists it as uncharacterized. The record is from RefSeq and is a predicted model, not a curated record. NCBI's taxonomy places the organism in Eukaryota, Metazoa, Chordata, Mammalia, Rodentia, Muridae. The transcript has 3 exons.
CUCUGCGCGCGGGCAGCGGGCGGCGGGUGCGCGGGGCAGCCGCUCCUGAGGCCGGGGGGAUGUGGCCGGCGCCUGGGAGGCGGCGCUCCCGCCAGGGCUGCGCUGGAGCUCCGCGCAGACGCUCUCCCGCGGUCUGCGGCAGCCCGGGGCGGUGGCGCCGGCGACAGCUCAGCGCCGCGGGCCCCCGGAACUGUCCGACCCAGCGGGAGCGCGGGCUGAGCGGCCGCUCGCGGUCUCCACGCUCGGCGCCUGCGCGCCCGGCCUCGCCCAGAAUCCAGACCUCUUCUAGUUGGCCUGGCUCGCUCUACUAAAGACAGACCCAAACGUUUCUUUCCUAGGCUUAGUUUUUGAAUCCCUGGUGCAUUUAACUCACUAUGGAGAUGUAAACAUGAAGAAUUCUCUGAAGACCUAGAUCCUUGGCUGGCGAGAUGGCUUAGUAGUAAAGAGCACCGACUCUUCCAGAGAUCCUGAGUUCAAUUCCCAGAAACCACAUGGUGGCUCACAACCAUCUGUAAUGGGAUCCAAUGCCCCCUUCUGGUGUGUCUGAAGACAGCAACAGUGAACUCAUAUACACAAAUUAAAUAAAUAAAUCUUUUAAAAAAAGAGAGAGAGGAAUAAAAAGACCUAAAUCCUUUGGGUUCAAACUGUACCUUUAAAUAGUUUUCAUGUUGACCUUUGUGAUAAUGUUGAAUUUACCACAUUGAUGAAUGUCUUAAUGCUUUGUCCUUACUGGCGAGUGCCAUGUUCCGGGCACCAUCUGUGCUGUAUUCUAUUGUGCCAUGUAAGAUCGCUACGAUGGAGAAAAUAUUAACAUCAUCUUACAGAAGAGGAAAGAGAAUCAGUGAGUUUGGGAUGUGCUAACAUCACCAGUGGAAAGUUCUGGUUUAUUUGGAAAGUCAAUUGGGUCAAAUGAUGUUUUGCUGGGGCACACCAGUGAAAGGAUGCCUUGCUAAAACAAAUACCUAAAAGAAUGUGUUCCUGAAGCAGACACAGGCGAAAGGAUGUUUCCCUAUAGAAGACACAGGAAAGGACAAGUCAUGAAGGAGUAUAAAUAUGACCCCACAGACAGCAGGAGGGAGAACAUUGGUUUGGUUUGCUCCGCCUUGCUAUCCUUUGCUUACAAUAGGCGUGUGUUGGUUAGCCUUGCAUAGUGUUGUCAAGGCCUCCAGCAUUGAGAGAAACUCGCCAAAGAACUGAUCCUGAGGUUCCUGAAGCAGCGUGCCAGGUCCCACUUCCACAGCCGCCCCCACCCCCACCCCCUUUGGCAAGCUUUGCUGUUUCCUCAGGAGUGAACUACAGAUGCUGGUUCCUGUAUGGUGUCUGCCUGCCAAAAGCACUGGACUGAAGCUGCUGAUUCGUAUUUAGAGUUUGCUAUGGGACUGAACUGCUGACAAGGAAGACUGAGCUUGCCCUCAAAGAACAAUUGCUGAACAGGUCCACUUCCCCCAUAUCCUAAUAACUUUUCUCUUUUUUUUUUCCCCACUACCUCUGCUGGGUCAUGGCCAAGAAGGAAAUAUACACUUGAGGGCAAAUUCUUUGCAGACAAAGGACAGAUAUACACAGUAUUUGGUGAGCACUAAAACAGCUUGAGAGAGUAAGCACCACAGGAGUGAGCAAGCUAUGAAGAAGUUCUGGUAAAGAUAUGGCGUGGGGACCUUGUUCUUUGCGACAGUGUUUCCAAAUGGAGCUUACCAUAUUCUCCAAAGACCUAAAAUAGUCUCUCCUAGUUACUCAGGAGAUCAUUUUGAUCCCAAACUCAAUCUUACAGAAAUAACCCUGAAUGUGUGAGGAGGGUGACACACCAAAAACUAUUUAUCAGAGCUUCAUGAACGAUUGGGAAAACUGAAGACUGCCAAAAAGGGUCAGAACAAGUCCCAGUAAAUAAAUCUCAUUAAACAAACAUUUUGAAGCUCUUCUUAUUGAUGUUUAUUUGAAUUUUAUGGUGAUGUGAAAAAUUAUUUACUGUGGCUUCAAGAAAGAGAAAUGGA